This 177-nucleotide ribosomal RNA is filed under the name uncultured bacterium. Its description in RNAcentral is "partial 16S ribosomal RNA". It matches the Rfam family "Bacterial small subunit ribosomal RNA", at positions 1322 to 1500 of the family's 1533-position model. The record is from RNAcentral.
GAAGCUGGAAUUGCUGUAAUGGCAGGUCAGCAUACUGCCGUGAAUACGUUCCCGGGCCUUGUACACACCGCCCGUCACACCAUGAGAGUUGGGAAUACCCGAAGCCUGUGAGCUAACUUAUAGAGGCAGCAGUCGAAGGUAGAAUCAAUGAUUGGGGUGAAGUCGUAACAAGGUAAC